UAGAGUUUGAUCCUGGCUCAGGAUGAACGCUGGCGGUAUGCCUAACACAUGCAAGUCGUACGAGAGUUUUAACUCUAGUGGCGGACGGGUGAGUAACACGUGAGAAUUUGCCUUUAGGAGGGGGAUAACAAUUGGAAACGAAUGCUAAUACCCCAUAUGCUUUCGAGUGAAAUGGAUUUAUAUUUAUCCGCCUAGAGAGAAGCUCGCGGCUGAUUAGCUUGUUGGUAAGGUAAGAGCUUACCAAGGCGACGAUCAGUAUCUGGUUUGAGAGGACGAUCAGACACACUGGAACUGAGACACGGUCCAGACUCCUACGGGAGGCAGCAGUGGGGAAUUUUCCGCAAUGGGCGAAAGCCUGACGGAGCAAUACCGCGUGAGGGAAGACUGCCUAUGGGUUGUAAACCUCUUUUUUCAGGGAGGAAUCAAUG
RNAcentral lists this ribosomal RNA (428 nucleotides) under uncultured bacterium. RNAcentral describes it as "bacterial SSU rRNA". It matches the Rfam family "Bacterial small subunit ribosomal RNA", at positions 1 to 455 of the family's 1533-position model. The record is from RNAcentral.